This 477-nucleotide ribosomal RNA is filed under the name uncultured bacterium. RNAcentral's name for it is "bacterial SSU rRNA". It matches the Rfam family "Bacterial small subunit ribosomal RNA", at positions 8 to 521 of the family's 1533-position model. The record is from RNAcentral.
AGAGUUUGAUCAUGGCUCAGAACGAACGUUGGCGGCACGCUUAAUACAUGCAAGUCGAACGAGAAACUUGGUUCGCCAAGUGGAAAGUGGCAGACGGUUGAGUAACGCGUGGGAAUCUACCUAGAGGUUCGGAAUAACUAUUGGAAACGAUAGCUAAUACCGGAUAAGCCCUUCGGGGGAAAGAUUUAUUGCCUUUAGAUGAGCCCGCGUCGGAUUAGCUAGUUGGUAAGGUAACGGCUUACCAAAGCUACGAUCCGUAGCUGAUCUGAGAGGAUGAUCAGCCAGAUUGGGACUGAGACACGGCCCAGACUCCUACGGGAGGCAGCAGUAGGGAAUAUUGCGCAAUGGGGGAAACCCUGACGCAGCGAUGCCGCGUGAGUGAAGAAGGCCUUAGGGUUGUAAAACUCUUUCAGUGGUGAAGAUAAUGACGGUAACCACAGAAGAAGCUCCGGCUAACUCCGUGCCAGCCGCCGCGGU